ACUCAUCAUUCCAGCCAAUCAGCAGCAGACCCUCCCUCCCAGACCCUCCCAACUCCUGGACAGCUCACUAAGAAUGCAGCUUCAAAAUGGAUGCUGUCCAGGAGGUGGGAGGGUCUGGGAGGGAGGGUCUGCUGCUGAUUGGCUGGAAUGAUGAG
Molecule: non-coding RNA, 155 nt
Organism: Pelobates cultripes (western spadefoot toad)
Lineage: Eukaryota; Metazoa; Chordata; Amphibia; Anura; Pelobatidae
Source: the annotation of a GenBank genome assembly